Daphnia carinata is the source of this 1128-nucleotide long non-coding RNA. RefSeq lists it as uncharacterized. Lineage: Eukaryota; Metazoa; Arthropoda; Branchiopoda; Diplostraca; Daphniidae. The transcript has 6 exons. The record is from RefSeq and is a predicted model, not a curated record.
UUCAUUUUUCUUGUUUUUUUGCUUACCUUUCAAAAAGAGCAGUUUAAUUGUAAUUUUAAGAAUAGAUGUUUAAACAGUGCUGAAGACACUGAAAUUGGUUUAGCAGAUAAAAAUCCUACUGAAAAUAUGUUAGGAAAUUAAUGCAGUUGCGCUUCGAUGCUUUUUGAAAACGACAAUUAAUUAUUGUGAAAGUUCCAAUGUCACAAUCUACUAGAAAGUCAUAGCAGUGAAAGUUUUGGUUUCCCUUGCACUUCUUCUUUACGUUAGGUACAGGACCUCAAUAUUAAGGUAUGUGGAGUCAUACAGUUCCCACUCCUGGCUUUCUUUGCGUGUCAAAAUCUGCAGAGAGAGCUUAGUGAAUUUUAAGAAUAGCAAAUCAAACGUGUAUUGGCUGGAAGUUAAACUGGAAAACCACCUGAAAAGAAAUUUAAGCAAAUUAAGCAACCAACGUAGAGGAAGACAACAAAACAACUGAUGCAGCCAGAAUCGCAGUCCAAUUUGCUUUGGAAAAUGCAUAAAGAAACGUGUAAAGAAAAAAGACAUGGGUAGGCACCUUAAAAAGCUAGAAAGGACCAAAUAAAAAAAGAUAAACAAGACCAAGAAAAAAGUUCUUGGAAAAAUACAUCCUGUCUUGAUUUUUAACUGGUAAAGGCAACUGCUUCAGCAAUAGAAACACUUAAGGCUGCCGAAACAAACUCUAUGGAAUUAUUUCAAGAUGGGGAGAUUGAACCAACAAGCCAGUCUUAAGUUGAAAUCGAAACCCGACAGAGAAUAUCAUCUGUAAAAGUUAUGAAAAAUACAAAAAAAAGAUAAAGAUGUCUAAAACUGGAAAAGAUGAAGGAAAAAACUUACCUUAUAAUAGUUCCUCUUCUAAUUGUGAACUUGUAAGAAAAACUGAUGCUCGUUUAGAAGUAAUCGAAGCUGCCGAAACAAAUUCUAUGGAAUUAUUUCAAGAAAUAGAGAACGUUAUUUGGUUGUUAGUUAUUUGUUUGGUUGGUUGUAAACAAUUGUUAGUUUGAAAAACAAUUCUUUGAUGCCUAGUGCAAGUAGACCAUAUGUUUGCCUUUUUUUACUAUGCUCGAAUUUGCAGUCACAUUUCAUCAAGGUACAUAAAAAUACAAUAUCGCC